This 509-nucleotide ribosomal RNA is filed under the name uncultured bacterium. RNAcentral describes it as "partial 16S ribosomal RNA". It matches the Rfam family "Bacterial small subunit ribosomal RNA", at positions 28 to 523 of the family's 1533-position model. The record is from RNAcentral.
GACGAACGCUGGCGGCGCGCUUAACACAUGCAAGUCGAGCGAGAACCAGCCCUUCGGGGCUGGGGAGAGCGGCGAACGGGUGAGUAACACGUGGGUAAUCAACCCUCGGUACUGGGAUAGCCCGGGGAAACCCGGAUUAAUACCGGAUGGCCCUUCGAAUCCUCGGAUUUGAAGGAAAAGGUAGCUUCGGCCUCCGACCGAGGACGAGCCCGCGGCGGAUUAGAUUGUUGGUGGGGUAACGGCCUACCAAGGCGACGAUCCGUAGCUGGGCUGAGAGGAGGACCAGCCAAACUGGGACUGAGACACGGCCCAGACUUCUACGGAAGGCAGCAGUGGGGAAUCUUGCGCAAAUGCGGGAAACCGUGACGCAGCGAGGCCGCGUGGGGGAAGAAGGCCUUCGGGUUGUAAACCUCUUUCAGGAGGGACGAAGCUACUCGGGUUAAUAGCCCAGAGGGUGACGGUACCUCCAGAAGAAGCCCCGGCUAACUACGUGCCAGCCGCCGCGGUAA